CUCGUUGCUGCGUGAUGAUGAUGAUGCAACAACUGUUUCUACCCCAUACACUGCUGCUGUUUUGGAAUACCGUGUUGUAUUUUAUGAUCCUGCAAAUGCACCUGUCAAGGAUAAGAACUGGAACAAUGCAAAUGGCCACACUGUUUAUGAUGCUCAACAUCCAUGCAGGUCUAAUGUAGCUGUGAGGAAGGAGCUUCAUACUCCUGCAUCUGAUCGUUCUUGCAUCCAUCUUGAAUUUGAUAUUACUGGCACUGGACUAUCAUAUGAAACAGGUGAUCAUGUUGGUGUUUACUGCGAGAAUCUAGACGAAGUUGUAGAGGAAGCAUUGAGAUUGUUGGGGCUAUGCCCAGACACCUAUUUCUCUGUUCAUACCGAUAAAGAGGAUGGCACUUCGCUUUGUUGCAACAUUGCCAGUAAAUUUGAUGUUUGAUCUAAAAGUUUUUAAAUGCAUGUUUAUAUAUUUUGGAAUUAUGUUGCCACUAGAAUCUUGUUUUUCUCCUAUUGCCUAUUGGGAACUGAGGCUUGUAAUAGGGGGUUGACUUGUUUGUUUAUGAGGAUGACUGGAUCAAAUGCUAUAUUUGGAAGUUGUUUUGCUG
Molecule: long non-coding RNA, 596 nt
Organism: Gossypium raimondii (Peruvian cotton)
Lineage: Eukaryota; Viridiplantae; Streptophyta; Magnoliopsida; Malvales; Malvaceae
Exons: 3
Source: RefSeq, a predicted model, not a curated record